AUUGAACGCUGGCGGCAGGCCUAACACAUGCAAGUCGAAUGGUAACAGGAAACAGCUUGCUGUUUCUCUGACGAGUGGCGGACGGGUGAGUAAUGUCUGGGAAACUGCCUGAUGGAGGGGGAUAACUACUGGAAACGGUAGCUAAUACCGCAUAACGUCGCGAGACCAAAGAGGGGGACCUUCGGGCCUCUUGCCAUCAGAUGUGCCCAGAUGGGAUUAGCUAGUAGGUGGGGUAACGGCUCACCUAGGCGACGAUCCCUAGCUGGUCUGAGAGGAUGACCAGCCACACUGGAGCUGAGACACGGUCCAGACUCCUACGGGAGGCAGCAGUGGGGAAUAUUGCACAAUGGGCGCAAGCCUGAUGCAGCCAUGCCGCGUGUAUGAAGAAGGCCUUCGGGUUGUAAAGUACUUUCAGCGGGGAGGAAGGGAGUAAAGUUAAUACCUUUGCUCAUUGACGUUACCCGCAGAAGAAGCACCGGCUAACUCCGUG
RNAcentral lists this ribosomal RNA (490 nucleotides) under uncultured bacterium. RNAcentral describes it as "partial 16S ribosomal RNA". It matches the Rfam family "Bacterial small subunit ribosomal RNA", at positions 30 to 507 of the family's 1533-position model. The record is from RNAcentral.